This is an RNA transcript of Ziziphus jujuba (common jujube), 3055 nucleotides long. RefSeq lists it as uncharacterized. The record is from RefSeq and is a predicted model, not a curated record. The transcript has 8 exons. NCBI's taxonomy places the organism in Eukaryota, Viridiplantae, Streptophyta, Magnoliopsida, Rosales, Rhamnaceae.
GAUCCCAUCACAGCCGUUCGUAUGAUCCAAGAGAAGCCGACAUUAGCUCUGUCUGACCGUUCCUGGAAGUUAAGAAAGAGAAAAAGAGUCAGACAGGGGUCGAGAGGUAGAGAGAGAGAGAGAGAGAGAGAGAGAGAGAGAGACCCAGCUUCUCUGCAGAGGGUUCUUUUUCCCACUGAUGUUUGGGAAGCAUAUCUGUUGUAAAUUUAACAAGUACAGAUCAAAUGCCAUCUCUAAAAAUGAAGACCAAAUCAAGCAUGUGCUGUUUAAGAGAAAAAAAUGGUCUUCAUGUAUGUCAAAGGUCAAGUAUAAUUUCCAAAAAAGUAUGCUCUCAUGUCAGGUUUUCUGAACAUACUGCAAAUCUUGACACUUGCGUUCAAAAUUAUCUUGAUGUUUCUUCGAGCAAACAAAUUUCUGCUAAGGACACUGAAAGUGAUGAAGCGAUUGACCAUCAGGAACUAUUGGAUGAAGCAAAUUCUGAGUCUCUAAAGCAGUCUUGUGAUUCUACAACCACAGGAAGGAUGGAAUCCAGCCAUACUUUUCCAUCAAACUUGGAAACUAUUUUUUCUCCUGCUUUGGAGCCCCUUGAAGUCCUUUUUGAACCAAGUGCAGACAAUAAUGCAGUUGGGAGCGAUAAUUACCCUGACAUGUCUUGGUUAGGAGCUGAUGACUGCGAUGAUAAUAGAAGCACACGUGACUGUCAAACUUGUGAUAUAUCUGAUUUCUACAUUUCUGACAUGAUUGUUGGAAACUUCCCCUUCAACGGGAAUGUAUUUGAUGAUACAAGUGAAAGCAAUUGCUUUGCCAGUUACAAAUCUGCCGAGCCAAAUAUGCUGUUUGAUAUGGCUGAGCAAUACAUGUUAUUGCCUUUCCUGGAGGAAACUUUCAGAAGCAGUAGUACCGAUGAUGACAAAUCAUGUGAAAAGGCCAUGAUGGAUCCGAAUAAUUCUGCCUUAUAUCCAGCAAUUGAACAGAUGAGAUCAUGCAACCAGGAUUCUGUUGUUAACUCUUCUGACUCGGAUCAGGCAGAGUGCUUUGAUCCUCAGUUGUUUAUAAAAAAUUUACCAGAAUUAUCAGAUGUGGUAUCCAAUUUUCAAACUAAUUCACUGCCUGAGGAAACUACAAAAGGAAAGCGUAUAACUCUAGUACUUGAUUUGGAUGAAACCCUUGUCCAUUCUACGCUUGAACAUUGUGAGAAUGCAGAUUUCUCCUUUACUGUGUUUUUCAACAUGAAAGAGAACACAGUAUAUGUAAAGAAAAGGCCUUAUCUUCGAACAUUCUUAGAGCGGGUUGCUGAGAUGUUUGAAGUUAUUAUUUUUACUGCCAGCCAAAGCAUCUAUGCAGAACAACUUCUUGAUAUGCUAGAUCCAGAAGGAAAGCUUAUAUCUCGGCGAGUUUACCGCGAAUCAUGCAUCUUCUCAGAUGGUAGUUACACUAAAGAUUUGACAGUUUUAGGUGUUGAUCUUGCAAAAGUUGUCAUAAUUGACAAUUCUCCUCAGGUUUUCCGCUUGCAAGUGAAUAAUGGGAUUCCCAUAAAGAGUUGGUUUGAUGAUCCAUCGGACUGCGCAUUAAUUUCAUUGCUUCCCUUCUUAGAGACUCUUCUAGAUGCUGAUGAUGUUCGUCCUAUCAUUGCCAAGAGAUUUGGUAACAAGGAAUAAGAGCCCCUUGUCAUUCUCAUUUGCUCGAAUAUAGCUACUUCUUGCCCUCUUGUCUAUUUUGAGCUGGAAUUUGGCCUCUUAUCUAGUCUGCAUUCUUAUCUUAUGAUCUUAUUAGGUUCAGUUUGGGAUCCACAACCUUGAAAUUUUGAUCAGGUACUUGUGACCUGAGGUAAUUCAUCGUAGUCUGUUUAUUUAAGUGGAUUAACUAUUUACCAUAUUGUAUUUGUUCAAGAGUCUUCCAUUUCGGAUUCUGGAUAUAAUUUGAUCUUCGUUUCUUCUUAAACAAAAUUUAUAGUCUGUUAUCUUAGAAUUUACAUUCAUAUCUUUCUUAAAAUGUCUCCUGUCCCAUCACUGCGAAAUUAUUUUCUCUGGCACUGUUCCAGAUCUCAUGUGACACAUAAUCAUUGGACAUGUCGCCAUUUCUUCCCAUCACCCUUAUUGUGUUUGUGCAGAUAGUUUUAAAGGCACUGUAAGUUAUAGCAAGAAAGGAAAGGUAGCUUGCUAAGAGCUGGAUCAUUAUGAGUAAAGCAAGAUAUGCUGCUAAAAUUGUGUCUGCUAUCCUAAUCCCUUAAUGAUUAUAUGAUUAUAUAACUAUUGCUAAGAUAUAUAUUGUGUACAUGAGUCUUAGAGCUAUAAAAGGCCUUUACCUAUUUAACAAUGUAUGUUAUGAUAGCAUAUGAAAGAAAAAUUGAUGAUUGCAUACUAUGGAUGAGUUAAGGUUGAGAAAAAAACCAGGUCAUACCCCAUAAGGUUAUAUGUUUGAGAUGUCUUAUUCUUCAAGAGAUUUAAAUUUCAAGUGCUGCUAAAGUGUUCUAAUUGACUCAGCCUAGUCUUUUACUAACUGAAUCUUUUUCUAUGAAGAUUCUCAUGAAGAUCAUAUGCCUGUGUCAUGGAAGCAUGCUAUGAUAAUGCACAAACUUAAAGAGUUUGAAUUAGACAUUAUGAGAUUAUAAAUAGCAAAUGAACUGGAAGAUGGUUAAAUGCAUAUGAGACUGUAUACAUUGAUAAAUCAACUUGUCGAAACAGGAGUACCCUCCUUAUUGGGUAGCUCCCAGGGUCUUUCUUGAGACUUUUGUGCAGAUCAAGACAAAAACUGUUAGAAUUUCUAUUUAAUAUCUCGAGAAUUCGGAGAUAGAGAUGCUGGACUACGGGUUUUAUAAACUAACUCUCCCUGCUUGUCAUUAUCUUCUGCUACAUUUAGCAAUCUUACUUUUAUAAUUGUACAUGCCUUAUCUGCAGGUCAUGUGGAGAACUGUAAUAGAUUUUCUGCUAAUGCCAAAAUAGUAGGUACGUGGAAUCUAUUGUUACUAUCAUUCGGAGAAGCCUAUAGGUAUAGGCAUUUGGUCUGGAUUUCCAUUUCCCAGUCAAACCUUUGUGUGAAACAACAUUGAGGGGGG